Molecule: unclassified non-coding RNA, 412 nt
Filed under: uncultured Piloderma
Lineage: Eukaryota; Fungi; Basidiomycota; Agaricomycetes; Atheliales; Atheliaceae
Description: sequence contains ITS2
Rfam family: 5.8S ribosomal RNA (bases 1-155)
Source: RNAcentral
AACUUUCGACAAUGGAUCUCUUGGCUCUCGCAUCGAUGAAGAACGCAGCGAAAUGCGAUAAGUAAUGUGAAUUGCAGCUUUUCAGUGAAUCAUCGAAUCUUUGAACGCACCUUGCGCCCUUUGGUAUUCCGAGGGGCAUGCCUGUUUGAGUGUCUUUAAAUUCUCAACUCCGAUUUGAUUUGUUUCUAAUCGGAGCUUGGACUUGGAGCGUGCUGGCGUCUAGUCGGCUCCUCUCAAAUGCAUCAGCGGAAUAUAACCUUUGGUUUCCGGACGUCGGUGUGAUAAUAAAGUUGCGCCGUCGUUCGACUUCAAAGUCCGCUUAUAAUGGUCUUCGGACGAACUCUUAUAUCAAAUUUGACCUCAAAUCAGGUAGGACUACCCGCUGAACUUAAGCAUAUCAUAAGCGGAGGCU